Long non-coding RNA from Lolium perenne, 541 nucleotides. RefSeq lists it as uncharacterized. Lineage: Eukaryota; Viridiplantae; Streptophyta; Magnoliopsida; Poales; Poaceae. The record is from RefSeq and is a predicted model, not a curated record.
AUAUGAGCAUUGCUUACUUUUGCUGCACAAGGGCUUUUCAACAGGGCAUGGCAUUGCUUACCUUUAUGGUCUUCCUGGGCUUGUGGCCUAUGCAUGUUUUUGGAGUUCAGGAUCUACUUCUAUAUGGUGAGAGGAGGAAGGUCUGAAAUAGGUCUCUGAGGAUGGACUUUCUGAAAUUCGAGAAGGUUACUCAUGAGCUGUUGGAGAUGCUGGUGACUCUGGUGCCGUCGGAUACUAAAGGCCAGGCCUGUCGUUACAUUCUUUGGCAGGACUAGCGCCAACGUUUCAUCAUCGCUAACGAUUUUCCACGAGAUGGUGUCAGAUUAAUUGUAGAAUUUUGUGGGAUUCUGUACUUGUUUUAGGUAGGCGUGACAGUGUCACGGGUGCAACCACCAAUGUUUUACUGAGAAGCAGUUUUCACGUCAAUAGGUGGUGUUGUAUCGACAUUCUAAUUAACUAACAUGUAAUUCAGUGAUUGUAGGUUCCAAUCAAGAGAAACCCUUCCCAGUAUGCGAUGAAAUUGAUGAAUUUGCUUUCCAUA